This 499-nucleotide ribosomal RNA is filed under the name uncultured archaeon. RNAcentral's name for it is "bacterial SSU rRNA". It matches the Rfam family "Archaeal small subunit ribosomal RNA", at positions 378 to 876 of the family's 1478-position model. The record is from RNAcentral.
ACCUCGAGUGCCAGGUUACAAAUCUGGCUGUCGUGAUGCCUAAAAAGCAUUGCAUAGCAAGGGCCGGGCAAGACCGGUGCCAGCCGCCGCGGUAACACCGGCGGCUCGAGUGGUAACCGUUAUUAUUGGGUCUAAAGGGUCUGUAGCCGGCCGGAUAAGUCUCUUGAGAAAUCUGGCAGCUUAACUGUCAGGCUUUCAGGAGAUACUGUCUGGCUCGAGGCCGGGAGAGGUGAGAGGUACUUCAGGGGUAGGGGUGAAAUCUUGUAAUCCUUGAAGGACCACCAGUGGCGAAGGCGUCUCACCAGAACGGACCUGACGGCAAGGGGACGAAAGCUAGGGGCACGAACCGGAUUAGAUACCCGGGUAGUCCUAGCCGUAAACGAUACUCGCUAGGUGUCGGCCACGGUGCGACCGUUGUCGGUGCCGUAGGGAAGCCGUGAAGCGAGCCACCUGGGAAGUACGGCCGCAAGGCUGAAACUUAAAGGAAUUGGCGGGGGAG